GAUGAACGCUGGCGGCGUGCCUAAUACAUGCAAGUCGAGCGAACAGACGAGGAGCUUGCUCCUCUGACGUUAGCGGCGGACGGGUGAGUAACACGUGGAUAACCUACCUAUAAGACUGGGAUAACUUCGGGAAACCGGAGCUAAUACCGGAUAAUAUAUUGAACCGCAUGGUUCAAUAGUGAAAGACGGUUUUGCUGUCACUUAUAGAUGGAUCCGCGCCGCAUUAGCUAGUUGGUAAGGUAACGGCUUACCAAGGCAACGAUGCGUAGCCGACCUGAGAGGGUGAUCGGCCACACUGGAACUGAGACACGGUCCAGACUCCUACGGGAGGCAGCAGUAGGGAAUCUUCCGCAAGGGGCGAAAGCCUGACGGAGCAACGCCGCGUGAGUGAUGAAGGUCUUCGGAUCGGAAAACUCUGUUAUUAGGGAAGAACAAAUGUGUAAGUAACUAUGCACGUCUUGACGGUACCUAAUCAGAAAGCCACGGCUAACUACGUG
Molecule: ribosomal RNA, 497 nt
Filed under: uncultured bacterium
Lineage: Bacteria
Description: partial 16S ribosomal RNA
Rfam family: Bacterial small subunit ribosomal RNA
Source: RNAcentral